Molecule: unclassified non-coding RNA, 118 nt
Organism: Neogale vison (American mink)
Lineage: Eukaryota; Metazoa; Chordata; Mammalia; Carnivora; Mustelidae
Source: Ensembl
CCAGCAGCCCCCUUUUUUUUCCAGAGGGUUGUGACCCCGCCUGGGGAUGAGGCCUGGUCUUGUGGAAACUGAACUAGCUUCGCGGGGCUGACCACUCUGGCCCAGGGUGGUAUGUAGU